This 73-nucleotide transfer RNA is filed under the name Roseivirga misakiensis. RNAcentral describes it as "Fabibacter misakiensis tRNA". It matches the Rfam family "tRNA". From Rfam's summary of the family: Transfer RNA (tRNA) molecules are approximately 80 nucleotides in length. Their secondary structure includes four short double-helical elements and three loops (D, anti-codon, and T loops). Further hydrogen bonds mediate the characteristic L-shaped molecular structure. tRNAs have two regions of fundamental functional importance: the anti-codon, which is responsible for specific mRNA codon recognition, and the 3' end, to which the tRNAs corresponding amino acid is attached (by aminoacyl-tRNA synthetases). tRNAs cope with the degeneracy of the genetic code in two manners: having more than one tRNA (with a specific anti-codon) for a particular amino acid; and 'wobble' base-pairing, i.e. permitting non-standard base-pairing at the 3rd anti-codon position. Lineage: Bacteria; Pseudomonadati; Bacteroidota; Cytophagia; Cytophagales; Roseivirgaceae. The record is from Rfam by way of RNAcentral.
AUCGAGUUCGUCUAAGAGGUGAGGACACUAUUCUCAUAAGGUAGAAAUAGAGGUUCGAAUCCUCUACUGGAUA